CGCGUAGGCGGUGAAUUGGGUGUGGUGUGAAAGCCCCGGGCUUAACCUGGGAAGUGCAUCGCAAACUAAUUGACUGGAGUAGGUGAGAGGGUGGCGGAAUUUCCGGUGUAGCGGUGAAAUGCGUAGAGAUCGGAAGGAACGUCAAUGGCGAAGGCAGCCACCUGGCAUCAUACUGACGCUGAGGCGCGAGAGCGUGGGAGCGAACA
Molecule: ribosomal RNA, 206 nt
Filed under: uncultured bacterium
Lineage: Bacteria
Description: partial 16S ribosomal RNA
Rfam family: Bacterial small subunit ribosomal RNA
Source: RNAcentral